UACGGGGGGGGUAAGCGUUGUUCGGAAUUACUGGGCGUAAAGGGCUCGUAGGCGGCCAACUAAGUCAUACGUGAAAUCCCUCAGCUUAACUGGGGAACUGCGUGUGAUACUGGAUGGCUUGGAUUUGGGAGAGGGAUGCGGAAUUCCAGGUGUAGCGGUGAAAUGCGUUGAUAUUAUGGGGAACACCAAAAGCGAAGGCAGCAGACUGGAGCACUCCUGACACUGAAACAAGAAAGCGUGGGUAGCGAAUGGG
Molecule: ribosomal RNA, 253 nt
Filed under: uncultured bacterium
Lineage: Bacteria
Description: partial 16S ribosomal RNA
Rfam family: Bacterial small subunit ribosomal RNA
Source: RNAcentral